AUGGUGGCGCCACGGCGGCCUCACCCCACGGUCUCCUCCAUCGUUGCAUGUGCGCCAUCCUCAGUCCAACCCCAUGGCGUCGGGGUGAUCGUGUUUGUCGCGAGCAGUAGUUCGGACUUGGGCAUGGUUGUGCCUCAGCAGUUCAGAGCUCGGAUGGGCGGCAGCAGCAUCCUCCCAAGAUCGUCACCGGUGGACAAGCCAUUCAAACAGGAGCCAGCAGUUCACCUGCGCGGCCCGAUGUCAGCUGAUUCGAAGAGACCAGGUCUCUUUCUCUCUCUCUCCUCUGCUAAUUCAUCUCCCAUGCCCUUUGUUUACCUCCCUCUCAUUCUACCAGCCGAGAUCAGUGAUAAGCACAUAAGAUGUUUGUGUUUAUGCCUGAAAAAUAGUGUUUUUUCUUAUGAUUUUUACAUGGCUUAUUGCUGA
RNAcentral lists this ribosomal RNA (423 nucleotides) under Triticum aestivum (bread wheat). Its description in RNAcentral is "partial small subunit ribosomal RNA". The record is from RNAcentral. Lineage: Eukaryota; Viridiplantae; Streptophyta; Magnoliopsida; Poales; Poaceae.